Molecule: ribosomal RNA, 380 nt
Filed under: uncultured eukaryote
Lineage: Eukaryota
Description: partial 18S ribosomal RNA
Rfam family: Eukaryotic small subunit ribosomal RNA
Source: RNAcentral
CAAUAGCGUAUAUUAAAGUUGUUGCGGUUAAAAAGCUCGUAGUUGGAUUUCUGCCGAGGACGACCGGUCCGCCCUCUGGGUGUGUAUCUGGUUUGGCCUGGGCAUCUUCUUGGAGAACGUAGCUGCACUUGACUGUGUGGUGCGGUGUCCAGGACUUUUACUUUGAGGAAAUUAGAGUGUUUCAAGCAGGCACACGCCUUGAAUACAUUAGCAUGGAAUAAUAAGAUAGGACCUCGGUUCUAUUUUGUUGGUUUCUAGAGCUGAGGUAAUGAUUAAUAGGGAUAGUUGGGGGCAUUCGUAUUUAAUUGUCAGAGGUGAAAUUCUCGGAUUUAUGAAAGACGAACAACUGCGAAAGCAUUUGCCAAGGAUGUUUUCAUUAA